RNAcentral lists this non-coding RNA (183 nucleotides) under Clostridium sp. Its description in RNAcentral is "6S RNA". It matches the Rfam family "6S / SsrS RNA". From Rfam's summary of the family: E. coli 6S RNA was the first non coding RNA to be sequenced, but its function was unknown until recently. The record is from RNAcentral. Lineage: Bacteria; Bacillati; Bacillota; Clostridia; Eubacteriales; Clostridiaceae.
AAUUGUCUAAAAGAAUAGAGCAUCUAUUGUAUAAAACCGACUAAAUAGUGACGAUAAGGGAGUUUCGAACUUUAACUGGUGUUGAAUACUUGCACAUUUUGUAAGGAUCCUAAAGGUUAAAUACAAACACCCACCUGCGGAGAGCGGGUUUUUAUCGUUGGUGUUCUCUCUUUUGGAUAAUUU